RNAcentral lists this ribosomal RNA (1045 nucleotides) under Microbacterium flavum. RNAcentral's name for it is "bacterial SSU rRNA". It matches the Rfam family "Bacterial small subunit ribosomal RNA", at positions 370 to 1425 of the family's 1533-position model. Lineage: Bacteria; Bacillati; Actinomycetota; Actinomycetes; Micrococcales; Microbacteriaceae. The record is from RNAcentral.
AAUGGGCGAAAGCCUGAUGCAGCAACCCCGCGUGAGGGACGACGGCCUUCGGGUUGUAAACCUCUUUUAGCAGGGAAGAAGCGAAAGUGACGGUACCUGCAGAAAAAGCGCCGGCUAACUACGUGCCAGCAGCCGCGGUAAUACGUAGGGCGCAAGCGUUAUCCGGAAUUAUUGGGCGUAAAGAGCUCGUAGGCGGUUUGUCGCGUCUGCUGUGAAAUCCCGAGGCUCAACCUCGGGUCUGCAGUGGGUACGGGCAGACUAGAGUGCGGUAGGGGAGAUUGGAAUUCCUGGUGUAGCGGUGGAAUGCGCAGAUAUCAGGAGGAACACCGAUGGCGAAGGCAGAUCUCUGGGCCGUAACUGACGCUGAGGAGCGAAAGGGUGGGGAGCAAACAGGCUUAGAUACCCUGGUAGUCCACCCCGUAAACGUUGGGAACUAGUUGUGGGGUCCAUUCCACGGAUUCCGUGACGCAGCUAACGCAUUAAGUUCCCCGCCUGGGGAGUACGGCCGCAAGGCUAAAACUCAAAGGAAUUGACGGGGACCCGCACAAGCGGCGGAGCAUGCGGAUUAAUUCGAUGCAACGCGAAGAACCUUACCAAGGCUUGACAUAUACGAGAACGGGCCAGAAAUGGUCAACUCUUUGGACACUCGUAAACAGGUGGUGCAUGGUUGUCGUCAGCUCGUGUCGUGAGAUGUUGGGUUAAGUCCCGCAACGAGCGCAACCCUCGUUCUAUGUUGCCAGCACGUAAUGGUGGGAACUCAUGGGAUACUGCCGGGGUCAACUCGGAGGAAGGUGGGGAUGACGUCAAAUCAUCAUGCCCCUUAUGUCUUGGGCUUCACGCAUGCUACAAUGGCCGGUACAAAGGGCUGCAAUACCGUAAGGUGGAGCGAAUCCCAAAAAGCCGGUCCCAGUUCGGAUUGAGGUCUGCAACUCGACCUCAUGAAGUCGGAGUCGCUAGUAAUCGCAGAUCAGCAACGCUGCGGUGAAUACGUUCCCGGGUCUUGUACACACCGCCCGUCAAGUCAUGAAAGUCGGUAACACCUGAA